This 497-nucleotide ribosomal RNA is filed under the name uncultured bacterium. RNAcentral describes it as "partial 16S ribosomal RNA". It matches the Rfam family "Bacterial small subunit ribosomal RNA", at positions 899 to 1397 of the family's 1533-position model. The record is from RNAcentral.
ACUCAAAUGAAUUGACGGGGGCCCGCACAAGCGGUGGAUCAUGUGGUUUAAUUCGAAGCAACGCGAAGAACCUUACCUGGAUUUGACAUCCUCUGAAUACAUUAGAGAUAGUGUAGGCCCGCAAGGGACAGAGAGACAGGUGCUGCAUGGCUGUCGUCAGCUCGUGUUGUGAAAUGUUGGGUUAAGUCCCGCAACGAGCGCAACCCCUGCCUUUGGUUGCCAUCAUUAAGUUGGGCACUCCAGAGGGACUGCCGUCGUUAAGACGGAGGAAGGUGGGGACGACGUCAAGUCCUCAUGGCCUUUAUAUCCAGGGCGACACACGUGAUACAAUGGUAGAUACAAAGGGUAGCGAAGUAGUGAUACGGAGCCAAUCUCAAAAAGUCUAUCUCAGUUCGGAUUGGAGUCUGCAACUCGACUCCAUGAAGUUGGAAUCGCUAGUAAUCGCGGAUCAGCACGCCGCGGUGAAUACGUUCCCGGGCCUUGUACACACCGCCCGU